GACGAACGCUGGCGGCGUGCUUAACACAUGCAAGUCGAACGGAAAGGCCCUGCUUUUGUGGGGUGCUCGAGUGGCGAACGGGUGAGUAACACGUGAGUACCCUGCCCUUGACUUUGGGAUAACUUCAGGAAACUGGGGCUAAUACCGGAUAGGAGCUCCUGCUGCAUGGUGGGGGUUGGAAAGUUUCGGCGGUUGGGGAUGGACUCGCGGCUUAUCAGUGUGUUGGUGGGGUAGUGGCUUACCAAGGCUUUGACGGGUAGCCGGCCUGGGGGGGUGAACGGGCGGGUGGGCAGGGAGGGGGGGCCCGGGCUGCUUCGGGAGGAAGGAGGGGGGAAUAGGGCAAAAUGGGGGGAGGCCGGAGUCAGCAACGCCGGGCGCGGGACGCCGGCCCUGGGGUUAUAAACGAGUUUACCCUGGGACGGGGGUGUGGGGAGGGUAAUGGGGAAGAAGGGCGCGCCUACCGGCUG
This 467-nucleotide ribosomal RNA is filed under the name uncultured bacterium. RNAcentral describes it as "partial 16S ribosomal RNA". It matches the Rfam family "Bacterial small subunit ribosomal RNA", at positions 28 to 507 of the family's 1533-position model. The record is from RNAcentral.